UGCGCCGUUCAUGGGGAGUAGCCGGUUUCUGUGCAAUAUAUUCAUAAUAUAUUGGCAAGCAGAAACGCCCGUAUCAACAUACUCGUUUCAUUUAUUUGAAACGUGGUACGGGCAGCCAGGUAAGGUUGGCGAGACCAUAGACACGUAGCUCCGUCGUUAGGUUGGGGGUGGGUUACGUGUAUAUGGAGCCGCCCGGCCGA
Molecule: small RNA, 200 nt
Filed under: Yersinia pestis
Lineage: Bacteria; Pseudomonadati; Pseudomonadota; Gammaproteobacteria; Enterobacterales; Yersiniaceae
Also listed under: 1 other name
Description: Manganese sequence
Rfam family: Manganese Mn2+ riboswitch aptamer (yybP-ykoY)
About the family: This RNA was originally discovered in E. coli during a large scale screen and was named SraF. The family was later found to exist upstream of related families of protein genes in many bacteria, including the the yybP and ykoK genes in B. subtilis.
Source: RNAcentral